CAACCACUUUCUUCGCCUCUUCGGUGGCCUGUCUUGUCUCCUUGGCAGCCUACUUUACCUUUUUUGUAGCUCUUGCUUAGGCCUCGACUGCCUUCAACUUCUCUUCCAAUGAGAUCUUGGCUCAAUUAAAACCAACCAAGCCCUCACUAAGAACAGUAAUGUCAUGCGCCAGCUAUAUGAAAAAGCAAAAGUUAGAAAUC
This 200-nucleotide long non-coding RNA is filed under the name Elaeis guineensis (African oil palm). RNAcentral describes it as "long non-coding RNA (EGUI_LNC042557)". Lineage: Eukaryota; Viridiplantae; Streptophyta; Magnoliopsida; Arecales; Arecaceae. The record is from RNAcentral.